This 326-nucleotide unclassified non-coding RNA is filed under the name air metagenome. RNAcentral describes it as "partial contains small subunit ribosomal RNA, internal transcribed spacer 1, and 5.8S ribosomal RNA". The stretch from base 1 to 46 matches the Rfam family "Eukaryotic small subunit ribosomal RNA", at positions 1786 to 1831 of the family's 1831-position model. The record is from RNAcentral.
AAGUCGUAACAAGGUUUCCGUAGGUGAACCUGCGGAAGGAUCAUUAUUGAAUGAAUCGAGGGGUUGCUGCUGGCCCGCUGAGGGCAUGUGCACGCUCUUCAAUUUUCCUUCUCCACCUGUGCACUCUUUUGUAGACUCUGGAAGGGGCACCUCUCGAGGCAACUCGGGAUGGAAGGGGUAGCUUUCGGGCCUCCCUUGCAAAUUUCCAGGGUCUAUGAUUUUUCACAUACACUUUUGAAUGUCAUCGAAUGUCUUUCAUGGCUUGCCGUAAAACGCAAUGCCUUUAAAACUUAAUACAACUUUCAACAACGGAUCUCUUGGCUCUC